This 704-nucleotide long non-coding RNA is filed under the name Nicotiana benthamiana. RNAcentral's name for it is "long non-coding RNA (NBEN_LNC016882)". The record is from RNAcentral. Lineage: Eukaryota; Viridiplantae; Streptophyta; Magnoliopsida; Solanales; Solanaceae.
AAAAAUGUCACUUUUUUUUUUGAUAAACAAUAGCCAUUUCAUUUCAUCAAAAAAACUUACAAAGCAUAGAUGAUGACCAUCUAUUGUUCGUAUGCUAUACAUAAACACUAACCUAUUAUCUAUUUAUGAAGUACGCAAUACAUACAAAGAUAAUACGUGUGAUACAGCUUCGUGAUUUAUGCCAUCUCAUUUGACUAGGGAAAAUGAUCUAAGUUAUGAAGAGUCGCCCUCCAUUUGUGUCUAGGAGCUCCUCUGCAAUGAAGAUGGACCACGAUUUCCUUACACACGGUAUCCCCCAUCAACCUGCCACCUUGGAAUCUCAAUUUAUUCCGUUCUUUCCAUAUUGUCGGCACCAGAAUCCCAAACAGGCAUGCUGUGAUUUCUGCUAAGCUAUUUCUCCUCUUCGCCAGCUUACUAAUCCACGCACACUCCUCCUGCCAGUCAGCAAUGAUACGCUUAUGACCCAGCCAGUUAAGGAGGUGAUUCCAGAGCUCUUUUGUUUUCGAACAUUCAAAAAACAAAUGCUCAAAGGUCUCCUGAUCUACACACCAGUUAAGGAGGCGAUUCCAGAGCUCUUUUGUUUUCGAACAUUCAAAAAAUAAAUGCUCAAAGGUCUCCUGAUCUACACCACAGAAUAUGCAUUCUUGCGGAACCACUAUAUUAAACUUUUGGAGUCGCUCCACAGUUGCGAGUCGCUUAUGUAA